Molecule: ribosomal RNA, 497 nt
Filed under: uncultured bacterium
Lineage: Bacteria
Description: bacterial SSU rRNA
Rfam family: Bacterial small subunit ribosomal RNA
Source: RNAcentral
CAGAACGAACGCUGGCGGCGCGUUUAAGCAUGCAAGUCGAGCGGCAAGGGCCUUCGGGCCCUAGAGCGGCGGACGGGUGAGUAACACGUGGACAAUCUGCCCCCCGGCCCGGGAUAGCCCAGGGAAACCUGGAUUAAUACCGGAUGAGACGGGACCCGCGAAGGCGGGACCCGGGAAAGGCGCUGCGGCGCCGCCGGGGGAUGAGUCUGCGUCCCAUUAGCUAGACGGCGGGGUAACGGCCCACCGUGGCGACGAUGGGUAGCCGGCCUGAGAGGAUGGUCCCCCACACUGGUACUGAGACACGGACCAGACUCCUACGGGAGGCAGCAGUGAGGAAUAUUGGUCAAUGGGCGGAAGCCUGAACCAGCCAAUGCCGCGUGCAGGAUGACGGCCCUACGGGUUGUAAACUGCUUUUCCCCGGGAAGAAUAAGCCCCUCGUGAGGGGUGAUGCCGGUACCGGGGGAAUAAGGAUCGGCUAACUCCGUGCCAGCCGCCGC